UGGGGAAUAUUGCACAAUGGGCGCAAGCCUGAUGCAGCGACGCCGCGUGCGGGAUGGAGGCCUUCGGGUUGUAAACCGCUUUGUUCAAGGGCAAAGCACGGUCUUUGGCCGUGUUGAGUGGAUUGUUCGAAUAAGCACCGGCUAACUACGUGCC
Molecule: ribosomal RNA, 154 nt
Filed under: uncultured bacterium
Lineage: Bacteria
Description: partial 16S ribosomal RNA
Rfam family: Bacterial small subunit ribosomal RNA
Source: RNAcentral